AUUAAACUUCUCUUUCUACUAAAUUAAGACCAAGCUUAAAUAGUUACCAAUUAGGUUUGAAAAGCACCUCUUAAAAAGACUUGGAUUCCUUUUGGCUAGAAGUGUUCUGAGAAAGGUCUCACUUCCAGUGAAGUGUGAGGGGUAUCUUAGACAAAAGGUGUUUCAUGCAUGUUGGCAGUAACCCCAGGCCUGUGAAACUUGUGUAGAAAGUAGGCAGAGGUCAGAUUAGUGGAUGACAGUGGCAGGUGGUUAAAUGCCUUCCUAUUUAAGUAGAGUAGUCACAUGAGAAUGGAAUUUCUGCUUGGGGAACUGGAAAGGUAGGACAGUGGGUGAAGGGAGUCACAUUUCUUUCACAGGAUAGGUGCUAUAUCAGAGUAUGAAGUGAAAGCCAUUAAUAGAUCAUCUUUUCUAGUAUUCCUGGCAACUUGCCUUAAAGAGUCUCCUCACUAUUGCUGGGCUCCUACCUAUAGAUAGCUAAUCUGCUUUUAAUAGUGUGUAAAUACCUGGAUUCCAUCUUUUUCUUCUCUCAGAUUUUUAAAUCCAACUGUAAAACUAAAAGGUGUUUGGUGUUGAGAAUAAAUAGUUGAUUUUCAUGCAGUUUAUUUUUUAAGUUCU
RNAcentral lists this long non-coding RNA (615 nucleotides) under Homo sapiens (human). Its description in RNAcentral is "HSALNT0283123". Lineage: Eukaryota; Metazoa; Chordata; Mammalia; Primates; Hominidae. The record is from RNAcentral.